UGGGCGUAGAGGGCUCGCAGGCGGUUUCUUAAGUCUGAUGUGAAAGCCCCCGGCUCAACCGGGGAGGGUCAUUGGAAACUGGGGAACUUGAGUGCAGAAGAGGAGAGUGGAAUUCCACGUGUAGCGGUGAAAUGCGUAGAGAUGUGGAGGAACACCAGUGGCGAAGGCGACUCUCUGGUCUGUAACUGACGCUGAGGAGCGAAAGCGUGGGGAGCGAACAGGAUUAGAUACCCUGGUAGUCCACGCCGUAAACGAUGAGUGCUAAGUGUUAGGGGGUUUCCGCCCCUUAGUGCUGCAGCUAACGCAUUAAGCACUCCGCCUGGGGAGUACGGUCGCAAGACUGAAACUCAAAGGAAUUGACGGGGGCCCGCACAAGCGGUGGAGCAUGUGGUUUAAUUCGAAGCAACGCGAAGAACCUUACCAGGUCUUGACAUCCUCUGACAAUCCUAGAGAUAGGACGUCCCCUUCGGGGGCAGAGUGACAGGUGGUGCAUGGUUGUCGUCAGCUCGUGUCGUGAGAUGUUGGGUUAAGUCCCGCAACGAGCGCAACCCUUGAUCUUAGUUGCCAGCAUUCAGUUGGGCACUCUAAGGUGACUGCCGGUGACAAACCGGAGGAAGGUGGGGAUGACGUCUUAUCAUCAUGCCCCUUAUGACCUGGGCUACACA
Molecule: ribosomal RNA, 665 nt
Filed under: Bacillus subtilis
Lineage: Bacteria; Bacillati; Bacillota; Bacilli; Caryophanales; Bacillaceae
Description: bacterial SSU rRNA
Rfam family: Bacterial small subunit ribosomal RNA
Source: RNAcentral